AUAAAUAACAGAUUAUUUGUAUUAAAAUAUCAAAACUAAAACGUGAUAAUAUUUUUUGCAUACUACAUGUAUAGUUAUUUAAAUGAUUUUUAAGUUUAAAAGUAACCAAUAAUCAAUACAAACAUACCCACACAAACUUAAUAGUUAAAAUAAUAAAACUUAGCAUAGUCAGGUACUGCUAGCCCAAAAAGAAAGCAAGAAUAUUUAGGUAAAGAAUGGCAUCCUGCAAGUGACAUUUUCAUCUUACAAGUGAGUUUUGCAUGGAAAAAUACAUGCGCAUCUAAAAUAUUCUUUGGAGAUAAAUCCAUCUCUAGACUUCACUCUUUUAAAAUAUUUUCCCCGGCAAGGCCUGCACCGAAUAGGUUUUGCUCCGAAUCUCGUUGUCUUUGACUCUUUAAUACAAUUAGUACUUGCCAUGCAAAUUCCUUCGUGAUUCUCUACGUGAUGACACUCCCAAGGUAUCAUUUUAGACACUAGUGGGGCACUCGGAGACUCGGAGUGGCCCUAACGCCUAACAAGAAAAUCAGAGAAUAGAAGAAGAUUAAUCGGAGAUUCGUUUUAGGGUUAUUUUAUUAAAUUAAUGAAAAAAUAUUAAGUAUAUGAUAUUAAUUAUAUGUAUAGUUCCAUUUCUCUUAAUGGAAAGAACAAUAUAACAUGCAAACCUGUAAUAUUGGCUUCAAAAUUAUAGUUAAUAAAUGUAAACAUAUUUUUAAACCCAAAUUUAUGAUUUUCAUAAAAUUUUGAACAGAAAUUAUCAUAAAAUAUCAUAUAAUUCCCAGUUUAAAUGUUUGAUAACCGAUAAAAAAAGUAGACGGGGAUUAGUCAUUAAUCGAAGCGAAUAAAGUGGGUCUAGUGAUUACACAGAGAGUAAUCAUAGUUAGGCGGAGAUUUUUUAAACAGGGCUCCAAAGGUAUGAACCAAGCUUUCACAUCUUGCAUUUUAUUUAUAUUAUAUUGUUCAUGAAAAAAUGUUGUAAUGGUUGUUGGUAGAAAUCAAAGUUUAUUAGUUGUUGGUUCCCAUCUGUUUUCUUUUUGCGGAAAAAUUAACUAUCUUUGGAAAUAUAUAUAUAUAUAUAUAUAUAUUUCCCUUUAAUUUUAGUUUUGUUGGUGAUUUGAAACACCAACAAAACUAAAACUAAAGGGAAACUAAUAUUUUACCUUGCACGUGACUCCAAACAACGAGUAAUAUCAAAAUUGAAGAAGAAACCAUGAACAAAGUAGCAGAUCUCAUGACUGAUCAAUAUAAAUUAAAUUUGGAGAAAUUCUAUUUUGUUUUCUUUGUAACACACUACUCGGUAAUAAGUAUAUGUAAAUACACUCCUAAUUAUAUAGCCAUUAAUCUACUAAAUUUUGGGGGAAAAGAGAG
RNAcentral lists this long non-coding RNA (1365 nucleotides) under Capsella rubella. RNAcentral's name for it is "long non-coding RNA (CRUB_LNC002394)". The record is from RNAcentral. Lineage: Eukaryota; Viridiplantae; Streptophyta; Magnoliopsida; Brassicales; Brassicaceae.